Gallus gallus (chicken) is the source of this 1252-nucleotide long non-coding RNA. RefSeq lists it as uncharacterized. Lineage: Eukaryota; Metazoa; Chordata; Aves; Galliformes; Phasianidae. The record is from RefSeq and is a predicted model, not a curated record. The transcript has 4 exons.
CUGCCCCUGGGGAAGGAUCUCUUUCUGCAGGCUCCUCCUUGGUGAAGCUUUCCCCUGCAAAUCUGGAAUCUUCCGAUACAGCUCCUUGCCAACGUGGAAUAAUGACAAAUGGCUCCGUCUCAUCUGGAUGUUCACAUAUGAAGCCACAGGGAUAACGUGCAGUGGAAACACAACGCAGAAAUCAACCCUCAGAAUGGAAUCAGUGUUUAGGGAGAUCUCACAGGAACCUCCUGUUCCACUACCAACAGAGGCUCAAGGACUCAGAGGGGAUGUGAUUGCCAUCCCACUCCUCAUUCCUCCUGCCUGGAAGACCUGCCACGCUCCAGGAUGCUUCCAGGAGCCUCUGGGGCUGCUUCUGAGUUCCAGCUCUGGGAAGAGCACCUGGGUCCUUCAAAAGAAUGAGGCUAAUUUCUUGCAGCCACAUCGAACUGGCACAAAGAAUGUGGUAGGAAGGAGCCUGGGAAUGCGAGUGCUCCUCCCAUCUAAUUAAUCACUCGUGGCCUCCUGCUCACCUGGCCAAUGCCACCGAUGUGGGCUGGGCUGUGUGCCCUGCAGGACACCAGCACCGGGUCCUGUGCCUCUGUCCCUCGACAUGCAGGUUUGGUUCGUUCCAGGAGGAGUUGGUCAGAAGUGAAGACAUCCAGGUCCAGAUGUGCUCUUCCUGCAGCAGAUGGGAGCUGGGAGCAUCUCCAGGUGCACUUGCUGUCUCCUUGCUCACUCCUCAGGCUUUCUUAGGCCCCAGUACAGCUCUGUUAACAUGGCUCCAUCAGCACAGACAGACCCAGCCAUCUUCUUCCUUCUGCUGAGCUCACAGCACACUGCCUGUCCUGGACGCCAACCUAUCCCAAGGGGCCGAUCAGGACCUGGCCUCCUGGGGACUCCUUUUCUUCUUGCCUUCAAGGCAGCCCCACUUUCAGCUCACAGAAGGUGCCAGCACCCAUGGCUGUGGAGCUGCAGACCCCUGGGGCAAGCGGUGUGCACCUCCUUGCAGGACACGAACUGCAGCCCUGGGGACAUCCAGCAUCGUAACUCCCGGGUCUCGCUGCUGUAUCAGGGUUUGGAACAAAGAUGCCCAACCACAAAACACUGACGUCCUCUCCCAUGAGAACAGGAGGGGAUUUUUAAACCCCACUGACCACAGUUUCCUACUGGCACAACUCUGGAACAAACACAGCCGCAGCACAGCCCCAGCCAGUGAGCUCCAGCGCUUCCUACACUGAGCACGCACCGGCGCUGACCUUCCUUUGCAAUA